UCAAGCGUGAGGUAAGGGCAAUUCGUGGAUGCCUUGGCGCAUACAGGCGAUGAAGGACGUGGCACGCUGCGAUAAGCUGCGGUGAGGUGUGAGCAACCUUUGACCCGCAGAUUUCCGAAUGGGGAAACCCACCUAUCCCGUUUAACUUGCAUGUUCGGGUAACUGAGCAGGCAAGCUAAAUGGGGCUAGGUAUCACUUAGCUGAAUACAUAGGCUUCGUGAAGCGAACCCGGCGAACUGAAACAUCUCAGUAGCUGGAGGAAAAGACAUCAACCGAGAUUCCGUUAGUAGUGGCGAGCGAACGCGGACCAGGCCAGUGCCGACAAGUGAAUUAGCAGAACGAUUUGGAAAGAUCGGCCAUAGCGGGUGACAGCCCCGUAUGCGAAAGUGAAAUUGUCGGACUUGAGUAGGGCGGGACACGUGUAAUCCUGUCUGAACAUAGGGGGACCACCCUCUAAGCCUAAAUACUCGUAUGCGACCGAUAGUGAACUAGUACCGUGAGGGAAAGGUGAAAAGCACCCCGAUGAGGGGAGUGAAACAGUACCUGAAACGGAUUGCCUACAAGCAGUUGGAGGGUCCUUGAGGCCUGACAGCGUACCUCUUGCAUAAUGGGUCUGUGACUUAAUGUAUCAAGCAAGCUUAAGCCGUUAGGUGUAGGCGCAGCGAAAGCGAGUCUGAAUAGGGCGCCAGAGUUUGAUGUAUUAGACCCGAAACCCGGCGAUCUAGGCAUGACCAGGAUGAAGGUGCGGUAACACGCACUGGAGGUCCGAACCGAUUAACGUUGAAAAGUUACCGGAUGAGUUGUGUUUAGGGGUGAAAGGCCAAUCAAGCCGGGAAAUAGCUGGUUCUCCGCGAAAACUAUUGAGGUAGUGCCUCGAGCGAAUACCGUAGGGGGUAGAGCACUGGAUGGAUGCGGGGGUCGCGAGACCUACCAACUCUAACCAAACUCCGAAUACCUACGAGUACUACUCGGGAGACAGACGGCGGGUGCUAAGGUCCGUCGUCAAAAGGGAAACAGCCCUGACCUACAGCUAAGGUCCCCAAGUCAUCACUAAGUGGGAAAGCAUGUGGAACUUCCAAAACAACCAGGAGGUUGGCUUAGAAGCAGCCAUCCUUUAAAGAAAGCGUAACAGCUCACUGGUCUAAAUAAGAGGUUCUGCGGCGAAGAUGUAACGGGGCUAAAGUGAUGCACCGAAGCUUAGGGUGUGGCGCAAGCCACGCGGUAGCGGAGCGUUCCGUAAGCCUGUGAAGCGAUCUGGUAAUGGGUCGUGGAGGUAUCGGAAGUGCGAAUGCAGACAUGAGUAGCGAUAAAAAGGGUGAGAUGCCCUUUCGCCGAAAGACCAAGGGUUCCUGCGCAAGGCUAAUCCGCGCAGGGUGAGCCGGCCCCUAAGACGAGCCCGAAGGGGGUAGUCGAUGGGAACCACGUUAAUAUUCGUGGGCCUGGUGGUGUGUGACGGAUCUCGUGUGUUGUUCUCCCUUAUUGGAUUGGGAGGGCUUCGAAGAGGUUCCAGGAAAUAGCCCCACCGUAUAGACCGUACCCGAAACCGACACAGGUGGUCAGGUAGAGUAUACCAAGGCGCUUGAGAGAAGUGUCCUGAAGGAACUCGGCAAAUUGCCUCCGUACCUUCGGAAGAAGGAGGCCCUCAUUGUGCGCAAGCAUUUUGAGGGGGCACAGGCCAGGGGGUAGCGACUGUUUAGCAAAAACACAGGGCUCUGCUAAGUCGGCUUCAAGACGACGUAUAGGGCCUGACGCCUGCCCGGUGCCUGAAGGUUAAGUGGAGGGGUGCAAGCUCCGAAAUGAAGCCCAGGUAAACGGCGGCCGUAACUAUAACGGUCCUAAGGUAGCGAAAUUCCUUGUCGGG
This 1861-nucleotide ribosomal RNA is filed under the name wastewater metagenome. RNAcentral's name for it is "bacterial LSU rRNA". It matches the Rfam family "Bacterial large subunit ribosomal RNA", at positions 1 to 1976 of the family's 2925-position model. The record is from RNAcentral.